Molecule: ribosomal RNA, 443 nt
Filed under: uncultured bacterium
Lineage: Bacteria
Description: partial 16S ribosomal RNA
Rfam family: Bacterial small subunit ribosomal RNA
Source: RNAcentral
CCUACGGGUGGCAGCAGUGGGGAAUAUUGGGCAAUGGAGGCAACUCUGACCCAGCAACGCCGCGUGAAUGAUGAAGGUUUUCGGAUUGUAAAGUUCUGUGCUGGGGGAUGAACACAGUGACGGUACCCCAAUAGCAAGCCACGGCUAACUACGUGCCAGCAGCCGCGGUAAUACGUAGGUGGCAAGCGUUAUCCGGACUGACUGGGCGUAAAGGGUGCGUAGGUGGUUAAGCAAGUCGGCUGUGUAAUUCCGGGGCUCAACCUAGGCGCUGCCUCCUAAACUAUUAGACUUGAGUGCAGGAGGGGCAAGUGGAAGUCCGAGUGUAGCGGUGGAAUGCGUAGAGAUUAGGAGGAACAACAGGGGCGAAGGCGACUUACUGGACUGUAACUGACACUGAGGCACGAAAGCGUGGGGAGCAAACAGGAUUAGAUACCCCGGUAGUC